AAGAGUAAGGGUCUUCAUGGCCCGACCUCCAACCCUCUGUUGUUAUAACUAUAUCGUUGCUUUGGCGGGACCGCCCGGUCAAACGGGCUGCCGGUCUUCGGCCCGGCAAGUGCCCGUCAGAGUCAAACCAAACUCUUGUUAUUAACCGGUCGUCUGAGUCAAAAUUUUAAUUAUAUUA
This 178-nucleotide unclassified non-coding RNA is filed under the name uncultured Dothideales. Its description in RNAcentral is "sequence contains ITS1". Lineage: Eukaryota; Fungi; Ascomycota; Dothideomycetes; Dothideales. The record is from RNAcentral.